CCCUUAGAUGUUCUGGGCCGCACGCGCGCUACACUGAUGCAUUCAACGAGUCUAAAACCUGCUCUGAUAGGGGUGGGUAAUCUUUUGAAUGUGCAUCGUGAUUGGGAUAGAUGAUUGCAAUUUUUCAUCUUCAACGAGGAAUGCCUAGUAAGCGUGAUUCAUCAAAUCGCGUUGAUUACGUCCCUGCCCUUUGUACACACCGCCCGUCGCUCCUACCGAUUGAAUGUGUUGGUGAGGAGCUCGGAUUGGCAGCAGUUGGUGGUUCGCCACCGGCUAUUGCUGAGAAGUCCUCCAAACCGCCCCAUUUAGAGGAAGGAGAAGUCGUAACA
Molecule: ribosomal RNA, 329 nt
Filed under: uncultured eukaryote
Lineage: Eukaryota
Description: partial 18S ribosomal RNA
Rfam family: Eukaryotic small subunit ribosomal RNA
Source: RNAcentral